RNAcentral lists this ribosomal RNA (323 nucleotides) under Porhydrus genei. RNAcentral's name for it is "partial 16S ribosomal RNA". The record is from RNAcentral. Lineage: Eukaryota; Metazoa; Arthropoda; Insecta; Coleoptera; Dytiscidae.
CACUGAAUAUUUUAAAUGGCCGCGGUAAAUUGACUGUGCAAAGGUAGCAUAAUCAGUAGUUUUUUAAUUAAAAGCUUGUAUGAAUGGUUGGACGAAAUAAAAUCUGUCUUUAUUUAAUGAUUAGAAUUUAAUUUUUAAGUUAAAAAGCUUAAAUUUAAUUAAAAGACGAGAAGACCCUAUAGAUCUUUAUAAUAAUUUAUUUAUUUGUAUUAAAGUUUAUAUUUUAUUUUAGGUAUUUUAUUAUUUUAUUGGGGUAAUAAAAAGAUUUAAAUAAUUCUUUUUUUAUUAAACAAUGAUAUUUGAUUAAUUGAUCCAUUUUUUUU